UACGUAGGGGGGCAAGCGUUGUCCGGAUUUAUUGGGCGUAAAGGGCGCGUAGGCGGUUUCUUAAGUUUUGAAGUGACAGUGGGUGGCUUAACUACCCAAGGCCUUUGAAAACUGGGGAACUUGAGGACCAGAGAGGGACAUAGAAUUCCGGGUGGAGUGGUGAAAUGCGUAGAUAUCCGGAGGAAUACCAAAGGCGAAGGCAGUG
Molecule: ribosomal RNA, 205 nt
Filed under: uncultured bacterium
Lineage: Bacteria
Description: partial 16S ribosomal RNA
Rfam family: Bacterial small subunit ribosomal RNA
Source: RNAcentral